UAGCGGAGGAAAAGAAACCAACAGGGAUUGCCUCAGUAACGGCGAGUGAAGCGGCAAAAGCUCAAAUUUUAAAGCUGGCAUCUUCGGUGUCCGCGUUGUAAUUUUGUGAGGCAUCUCCGGGUAGGGCGCCGGCCUAAGUUCCUUGGAACAGGACGUCACAGAGGGUGAGAAUCCCGUGCUUGGCUGGCUGUCCCCGUCCAUGUGAGGUGUCUUCGACGAGUCGAGUUGUUUGGGAAUGCAGCUCAAAAUGGGUGGUAAAUUUCAUCUAAAGCUAAAUAUUGGUGGGAGACCGAUAGCGCACAAGUAGAGUGAUCGAAAGAUGAAAAGCACUUUGAAAAUAGAGUUAAAAAGUACGUGAAAUUGUUGAAAGGGAAGCGCUUGAGAUCAGACUUCGGUAGGGGGUGAUCAGCCGUCCUUCUGGGCGGUGCACUUGCCCCUCUCCGGGCCAGCAUCGGUUGAGGCGGCGGGAUAAAGGUCCCGGGAAUGUGGCUCCUUCGCGGGAGUGUUAUAGCCCGGGUGAAUGCCGCCAGUCUCGACCGAGGACCGCACCCGCAAGGGUUAGGAUGCUUGGCAUAAUGGUCUUCAGCGACCCGUCUUGA
RNAcentral lists this ribosomal RNA (599 nucleotides) under Morchella importuna. Its description in RNAcentral is "eukaryotic LSU rRNA". It matches the Rfam family "Eukaryotic large subunit ribosomal RNA", at positions 48 to 657 of the family's 3401-position model. The record is from RNAcentral. Lineage: Eukaryota; Fungi; Ascomycota; Pezizomycetes; Pezizales; Morchellaceae.